Coregonus clupeaformis (lake whitefish) is the source of this 1763-nucleotide RNA transcript. It is a transcript of the gene named serine/arginine-rich splicing factor 2, with no coding region annotated. The record is from RefSeq and is a predicted model, not a curated record. NCBI's taxonomy places the organism in Eukaryota, Metazoa, Chordata, Actinopteri, Salmoniformes, Salmonidae. The transcript has 4 exons.
GAAAAAGAAGCUCCAGAGCCGCCAUUUCAUAUACGAGCAGCUGAGAGAACGGGGUGAGGUGGGCCUAGAAAUUGGCAAAACAAAAACAAAUCUAAAAUAACGAUUUUGAUCUUCGUCUGGUUGUCUCAUUUUGAGGAGCAAAGAUGAGCUACGGAAGGCCUCCGCCCGAUGUCGAGGGUAUGUCCUCGCUCAAAGUGGACAAUCUCACGUACCGGACCUCGCCUGAGACCCUACGCCGAGUUUUCGAGAAGUAUGGCCGGGUGGGAGACGUGUACAUCCCACGUGAUCGGUACACCAAGGAGAGCCGCGGUUUCGCCUUUGUGCGGUUCCACGAUAAGCGCGACGCUGAAGACGCGAUGGACGCCAUGGAUGGGGCCUUGCUCGACGGGCGGGAACUGCGAGUACAGAUGGCGCGCUAUGGCCGGCCACCAGACUCUCACUUCGGGCGCCGAGGCGGCGGUGGACCCCCAAGGAGGCAUGGAGGCUACGGUCGCAGGAGCAGAAGUCGUUCGGCCAGCCCCCGCCGGCGCAGAAGCAGUCGUUCCCGAAGCAGGAGCCGCAGCCGUGGCCGUGACUACAGCCGCUCCCGGUCUCGUUCCUCCUCUAGAUCCCGUUCCAAGUCCCGCACACCCCGCAAGAGCAAGUCCCCGUCCCGAUCGAGGUCCCGCAGCCGCACCCCGGCUUCCAACAGAGGGUCAAGGUCGAGGUCCAAGAGCAUGCCCAAAUCCACCGAGGACAACGGAAUCGAGUCUUAGUAACAACAGUUCCAACCCGGACCCAGUAAGACGAUGUCAGACGAUUGAGACAUCUUCUCUGUGGAUGUCGACCAGAGCAUAAGUCUGCCAGUGGACACCUUUCUAUGCCCAACAGAAUACUGACCAAAAGGCGCAGUUGUGUAGCAGUUGAGUAUUGCUGGUUAGCUGUUAAGGUGCGAUGCAGUGCUGAUGAUGGUGAGGUGGCUGGCGGGGGCGUUGCGGUGCCCGGUGCAGUUGCUUCCCGGCUCUCGGCUUGGUGCUGCUGCCGUUUGCCUGGUUCUGGUUUGUAAGAAUAAAUCAGUCACAGCUGUGGUGGCAGAUCUGAUCAUCCCAUCUCUCUCCCUGUGUUGUCAUAUGGUCUCUACCAUUCCUGAUGUACAAAUACAAUUCUUCACUUUCUCCAUCCCAACCCUAGCCUGGUGGAACCAAACUGAUCGCUGUGUUUAACAUUGUUUCGAUCAGGCUGGUUCCACCAGGUUAUCCUACCCCCUCCUCCAACUGUGGUUUAGUCCUCUGUUGUGAGCUGGUUGUACCCAGUGUUGAUGGAGUCUAUUAUGGCUCGAUAGAGGAGGGUUGGAUAAAGGGCAUUCCACUAGCUUGAUAAAUUAGUCUCAGUGCAUUAUUUUGUGAACCCUCACAAGAUGUCUUGUAACUGCUUCAGGUGAACGCUAAUAAUAAAUGUGGUACAUUUGUUGUUAUGGACUGUUAUUAGGUCAGAUGUUGCGAGAGCUUGUCUGUAAUGGUUGGCUUCGCUCCUUCACAGAGCUAGCCAAGACACAAAUACAUUUAAUGUUGAGCCAAUACAGCAUAUUACAAUUUCAGCAAGUUUAUACACUUCUAAAAAUGACAUCAAAAGGCAACGCAUUGAUGAGACCCUUUCCUUUUUAUAUGCACAAGCCUGUACCUGACUUGGUGUUUUCUCUAUACACCCCCCCAUGUCAGUUUGCAAACAAUGUUUUACUUUUCUUUAUACGUAAUAAUCCUUGAGUUAAUAAAGCCGACUACAAA